RNAcentral lists this long non-coding RNA (245 nucleotides) under Hordeum vulgare. Its description in RNAcentral is "long non-coding RNA (HVUL_LNC006086)". Lineage: Eukaryota; Viridiplantae; Streptophyta; Magnoliopsida; Poales; Poaceae. The record is from RNAcentral.
AACCAAAUUCAAAAGAGCCAUUAAUCCAAGUUUGUACCAUUUCAGAUACACUGAUAUUACUACUUUGUGUGUAUCCAAUCAGUCCUACACUCAGCUAAUUAAUCGUAUAUGUCAAACCUACACUUAAUUAAUUAAUCCUAGCAACUAAUUUCUCCCGCUGUGCCACGCCACUUGAAUUCAUUAGUAUUCCCAGCAGAGGUGAUGUGUUGCUUUUCUUCGACAUGGAGGGAGUGAACUAGCCUUGG